This 2040-nucleotide ribosomal RNA is filed under the name Streptococcus infantis. RNAcentral's name for it is "partial 23S ribosomal RNA". It matches the Rfam family "Bacterial large subunit ribosomal RNA", at positions 1 to 1991 of the family's 2925-position model. Lineage: Bacteria; Bacillati; Bacillota; Bacilli; Lactobacillales; Streptococcaceae. The record is from RNAcentral.
GGACAAGAUAUCUAGGGCGCACGGCGGAUGCCUUGGCACAGGAAGUCGACGAAGGACGCGGCAAGCUGCGAUAAGCCCCGGGGAGUGGCAAACACACCUUGAUCCGGGGAUCUCCGAAUGGGGGAACCCAGCAGGGGUCAUGCCCUGCUACCCACGCCUGAAUCAAAUAGGGCGCAGGGAGGCAACCGGGGGAACUGAAACAUCUAAGUACCCCGAGGAAGAGAAAUCAACCGAGAUUGCGCGAGUAGCGGCGAGCGAAAGCGCACCAGCCCAAACCCGGGCGCGUGUAAGCGGCAGGCGUUGCCGCCCGGGGGUUGCGGGACUCGCGUCCAGGUGCUGCCCGCCUGGGAGCGGUUACAAAUCCACAUGGUAGCGGAACGGCAUGGAAGGGCCGGCCGCAGCGGGUGAGAGCCCCGUACGCGAAACCAUGCGGACCGCUGACGAGUAUCCCGAGUAGGGCCGGGCACGUGAAACCCGGUCCGAAGCCGGGGGGACCACCCUCCAAGGCUGAACACUCUCCUGUGACCGAUAGCGAACCAGUACCGUGAGGGAAAGGUGAAAAGCACCCCGAGAGGGGAGUGAAACAGUACCUGAAACCGUGCGCCCACAAGCAGUCGGAGCAGCCUUUGCGCUGUGACGGCGUGCCUUUUGUAGAAUGAGCCAGCGAGUUGCGGUGUGCGGCGAGGUUAAGUUUGGAAACGAGCCGCAGCGAAAGCGAGCCUUUAAGAUGGCGAGUGAGUCGCACGCUGCAGACGCGAAGCCGGGUGAGCUAUCCUGGGGCAGGCUGAAGCGGGGGUAAGACCCCGUGGAGGGCCGAACCCACUUCGGUUGAAAACGGAGGGGAUGACCCCAGGAUAGGGGUGAAAGGCCAAUCAAACCCGGAGAUAUCUCGUUCUCCCCGAAAUAGCUUUAGGGCUAGCCUCGGCCGUUAACCCGCGGUGGUAGAGCCACCGGAUCGACGAGGGGGCUUCACCGCCUACCGACUCGAACCGAACUCCGAAUGCCGCGGGUCGAGAGGCCGGGAGUCAGAGGGCGUGGGCUAAGCUGCGCGCUCGAGAGGGAAACAGCCCAGACCGCCCGCUAAGGUCCCCAAGUCAUCGCUGAGUGGCAAAGGAUGUGCGUCUGCCCAGACAACCAGGAUGUUGGCUUAGAAGCAGCCAUGCAUUUAAAGAGUGCGUAACAGCUCACUGGUCGAGUGGACAUGCGCCGACAAUUCACGGGGCUAAGCGAUGCACCGAAGCGGCGGACUGAGAAUUCAGUGGUAGGGGAGCUCUCCGCGGGGGGCGAAGCAGCAGGGCGACCUGCUGUGGACCGCGCGGAGGUGAGAAUGCUGGCAUGAGUAACGAGACCAGGGCGAGAAACCCUGGCGCCGUGAGCCUAAGGGUUCCUGGGCGAGGCUAAUCCCCCCAGGGUCAGUCGGGAGCUAAGGCGAGGCCGAGAGGCGUAGCCGAUGCGCAGCGGGCAGACAUUCCCGCACCGCCGACGGCGCGGCAUUACCGAUGGGGCGACGGAGAAGGGUAGCCGGGCGGGGUUCUGGACGUCCCCGUGAAAGCGCGUAGGGCGCGCAGCGUGGAAAUCAGCUGCGCAUGGGGCCUGAGACGCGAGACGAAGCGACCGAGCGAAGCCGGUGAGCCCAUGCUUCCGAGAAAAACCUCUAGGGAGUGCCGUCGGCGCCCGUACCAAAACCGACACAGGUGGGCGGGUAGAACAUACCGAGGCGAUCGGGAGAACCACGGUUAAGGAACUCGGCAUACUGGCCCCGUAACUUCGGGAGAAGGGGCGCCGCCGGCUGUGAACGCCCUCGCGGCGGGAGCGGCUGGCGGCCGCAGCGAAACGGCCCAAGCGACUGUUUAUCAAAAACACAGGACUCUGCAAAGCCGUAAGGCGACGUAUAGGGUCUGACGCCUGCCCGGUGCCGGAAGGUUACGCGGAUGCGUCAGCCGAAAGGCGAAGCGCUGAAGCCAAGCCCCGGUAAACGGCGGCCGUAACAAUAACGGUCCUAAGGUAGCGAAAUUCCUUGUCGGGUAAGUUCCGACCUGC